AGCAGCCGCGGUAAUUCCAGCUCCAAUAGCGUAUAUUAAAGUUGUUGCAGUUAAAAAGCUCGUAGUUGAAUUUCGGGAUUUGUCAGUUGGUCGGGCUUAACUGUCCGUAUUGACUCGAUGGAUUCUUACCUUCUGAAUAACCAGCAUGCUAUUAAGUUAGUGCGUUGGGGAAGCAGAUCUAUUACCUUGAAAAAAUUAGAGUGCUUAAAGCGAGCUAGUGCUUGAAUAGAUUAGCAUGGAAUAAUAAAAUAGGACGGCAUGGUUCUAUUUUGUUGGUUUCUAGGAUCACCGUAAUGAUUAAUAGGGAUAGUUGGGGGCAUUAGUAUUCAAUUGUCAGAGGUGAAAUUCUUGGAUUUAUUGAAGACUAACUUCUGCGAAAGCAUUUUGCCAAGGAUGUUUUCAUUAAUCAAGAACGAAAGUUAGGGGAUCGAAGACGAUCAGAUACCGUCGUAGUCUUAACCAUAAACUAUGCCGACUAGGAAUCGGACGAUGUUAAUUUUAUAAUGACUCG
RNAcentral lists this ribosomal RNA (511 nucleotides) under Acaulospora sp. MO-A1. Its description in RNAcentral is "SSU rRNA". It matches the Rfam family "Eukaryotic small subunit ribosomal RNA", at positions 569 to 1078 of the family's 1831-position model. Lineage: Eukaryota; Fungi; Glomeromycota; Glomeromycetes; Diversisporales; Acaulosporaceae. The record is from RNAcentral.